This 521-nucleotide ribosomal RNA is filed under the name uncultured Bacillota bacterium. RNAcentral's name for it is "bacterial SSU rRNA". It matches the Rfam family "Bacterial small subunit ribosomal RNA", at positions 1 to 524 of the family's 1533-position model. Lineage: Bacteria; Bacillati; Bacillota. The record is from RNAcentral.
AGGGGUUUUGAUCCUGGCCUCAGGAUAAACGCUGGCGGCGUGCAUAACACAUGCAAGUCGAACGAUGAAGCUUAACUGAUUUCUUCGGAAUGAUUUUAAGUGGAUUAGUGGCGGACGGGUGAGUAACGCGUGAGUAACCUGCCCUGCACAAGGGGAUAGCCGUUGGAAACGACGAAUAAUACCCUAUGAUAUAAACUCUUCGCAUGAAGAGCUUAUCAAAGAUUUAUCGGUGUAAGAUGGACUCGCGUCUGAUUAGCUAGUUGGUGGGAUAAAAGCCUACCAAGGCAACGAUCAGUAGCCGGCUUGAGAGAGUGUACGGCCACAUUGGGACUGAGACACGGCCCAGACUCCUACGGGGAGGCAGCAGUGGGGAAUUUUGCACAAUGGGGGAAACCCUGAUGCAGCGACGCCGCGUGAUUAGAAGGCCUUCGGGUUGUAAAAUCUUUUGUAUGGGNAAGAAAAUGACAAUUACCAUACGGAAUAAAGGACCGGCUAAUUUCGUGCCAGCAGNCGCGGGUAAU